UUUCCUUCAUUUUGAGCUCCUUCUGGAUUCUGUUUGAGGGAUAGUUCAUGGUGGGAAGCAUAAAUUAAUUCUGUGUAAGAAUGCCAGUUUUAAACAACUUGUUGCUUCCUCUAGCAUCAUGUUACCUGUCUCCUGGUACAUCA
Nymphaea colorata (pocket water lily) is the source of this 143-nucleotide small nucleolar RNA. RefSeq annotates it as small nucleolar RNA snoR137. The record is from RefSeq and is a predicted model, not a curated record. The transcript has a single exon. NCBI's taxonomy places the organism in Eukaryota, Viridiplantae, Streptophyta, Magnoliopsida, Nymphaeales, Nymphaeaceae.